Molecule: unclassified non-coding RNA, 276 nt
Filed under: fungal sp.
Lineage: Eukaryota; Fungi
Description: partial internal transcribed spacer region
Rfam family: Eukaryotic small subunit ribosomal RNA (bases 1-46)
Source: RNAcentral
AAGUCGUAACAAGGUUUCCGUAGGUGAACCUGCGGAAGGAUCAUUACCGAACUGUCGACACGAGUUGUUGCUGGCCCUCAAGUUGGGGGUAUGUGCACGCUCUGUUUACACAUCCACUCACACCUGUGCACCCACUGUAGUUCCGUGGCGUGGGGGGCUCUGUCCUCCUGCUGUGGUUCUAUGUCUUUACACACACACUGUGACAAAGUCUCAUGGAAUGCAUAUCGCGUUUAACGCAAUACAAUACAACUUUCAGCAACGGAUCUCUUGGCUCUC